Molecule: long non-coding RNA, 1894 nt
Filed under: Mus musculus (house mouse)
Lineage: Eukaryota; Metazoa; Chordata; Mammalia; Rodentia; Muridae
Description: RIKEN cDNA A330076H08 gene (A330076H08Rik)
Rfam family: mir-344 microRNA precursor family (bases 1-68)
Source: RNAcentral
AGUCAGGCUCCUGGCAGGAGUCCUGCUCUCAGCUGGUUCCAGGCUCUAGCCAGGGGCUUGACUGCAAGCUGCUCAUCGAGAAGGAUGGAUGCUCCUGAGACCUGCAGUAGACAGAGCCACAAGACACACAGCAUUUGCAGGGAUGUUGUGGGAAUCCCCACAAUCAUACUCACCUGUUCCUGUUAUCUCUGCUUGGAAUUAUUUAAUCCUGCUUUGGCGUUAAGACUGAUUAUUUCUGAGGCAAGAUUAGAGUCCGACUUCAGUUGCAGCAAGGGUGAUUCACUUCAGCCUUCAGAAACUGACAGAAACCUGAGACUUCUGUCGUUCCCGUGAAGAACUGUGAAGAACUUCUAUAUCACGAAUCUGGUCAGGAGGGAGAUUUGUUCCUUGUGGAUAUCUAGAAGUAUUAUACUGAUGACAUUAGAAAUGACUCUGGAAUAAUAAUCUGAAGGAUUACACAUUUGAGAAAAAUGAAGAGAAUAUUAACUACAAAGGAUUUUUUAAUGGUGUAUUUUAUGAAGGCAAGACAAGACUGUGUAUUUCUAAGGCUCUUACUGUGCUGCUCACCGUAGUCUCAAACUCAUCUCUGAAACCAUGCUGCCUCUUCACAUCAUGAGAAGCUAAUAUACAGAUGCAAACCACAACACUCAGCUGAUGGGUAUUGUAAAAUACCUCCUUUCUAACAUGCAAUUUUGAGAUUUGAGUGCUGGUGUAAAAAAAUAGAAAAUGUGUAUUUUUUAAAAGUCAGGCUUUGCUGAAAUUAUGUUUAUAUAUAAAUAUGAUUUUAGUGCUUAAUAUUUUCCAUACACAAGAAUUAUUGCCUUUGCAAAACUUAGAAAUGGUUGUAUUUCCUUUAAGCUUUGAAUAUUUAAAAAAUGAAAGUUCUAAGUAUUUACUUUCCAAAAUAAAUGGCCUCACGAAGCCUUCUAGAACAAUGUCCAAUAGAGGUGUCAACAAUUGUCAUCAUUAAAUACUUUUAAAAUUGCAAAUAUACUGAGGCAUUUAAGACCAGCUAAUGCAUUAUUUCCCCUUAAGAUAGUGUUCUUGCAAUUAAUAUUUGAGUGGUUUCCUUCUAAUCAUGAAGGUAGCUAGGGAUUCUCAAAGAUUUUUUAUUUUGUAGUUUAAGAUGAUCACGAGGAUUUUAUCAUUCCUUGUUUUAAUGCAGCUUGUUAAUUGAAAUCUUUGCAUAUCUUAAACCUGUAUAUUUAGAUAAAAUUUCUUCAACAUCAUAAAAAUUCUGACUAUAUAUUAAGUGUUUGGACUCCAUUAAUUAAUUAAUAUAGUUUACAUAUAAUAUUUACAAAUAAUAUAUUUUGAUCACAUUCUUUCUCAUUAUAAAACUUGACUCAGAUACUCCCUACCUCUUUACCAACAUAAUUUCAUGUAUCCUUGUUCAUAUGCAAGGUCUCUUUUUCUUAUGUCUGUCUUUCUCUCCCUCUUAAACAAUAACUAAAAAUGAAGAAAUGAAAUGAAAUAAAAGAAAGUAAGGAAAUAAGGAAGGAAGAAAAACUAAAGACUGAGCCAUCUCAACAUCAAAAAACAAGGCAGUAAUAAUAAAAAAAGAAGAAGCAAAUUUCCCAAAAGAAAAAUGAAACAAGAAGAGAUCAAUUUUGCUGUCUCUGUAAAUGAGGGCUGUUCAGAAGUGUGAUUAAUAUAACAAUAUAACUGCUGAUAUUUAAUUGUUUAAAACAAAACAAACAAAACAAAAUCCUAAUUUGUUUCCUUCUCCACAGAUAUCAGUUGCAAAUACCUUCUUGGGCAAGGGUCCUUCUUUAUGUCUACUUUCCCUUCCCAUGCUGGUAUUUUUGUCUGAUUUGAGCUUGUUCAGACCAUGUUUGGGCUGCCAGUCUCAGUGCCUACCUAUGUCUGACAGUAAACUUGUUUUUGCAAAACA